RNAcentral lists this ribosomal RNA (935 nucleotides) under uncultured archaeon. RNAcentral describes it as "bacterial SSU rRNA". It matches the Rfam family "Archaeal small subunit ribosomal RNA", at positions 1 to 924 of the family's 1478-position model. The record is from RNAcentral.
UUCCGGUUGAUCCUGCCGGACCUGACUGCUAUUGGAGUGGGACUAAGUCACGCUAGUCAAAGGUGCAGAAUGGAGCACCUGGCGCACGGCUCAGUAACACGUAGUGAACCUGCCCUGAGGACGGGGACAACCGCGGGAAACUGCGGCUAAUACCCGAUAAGAAACUUGGCCUGGAACGGUAUUUUUCUUAAAACCGGCUCGCCGUGAGACACGGGCCUUAGGAUGGCGCUGCGGCUGAUUAUGCUUGAUGGUGGUGUAAUGGACCACCAUGGCGUCGAUCAGUAUGGGCGAUGGAAGUCGGAGCCCAGAGUCGGCCACUGAGACAAGGGGCCGAGCCUUACGAGGCUUAGCGGUCGCGAAACCUCGCCAAUGCACGAAAGUGUGAGUGGGCUACUCCAAGUGUCAUUCUUACGGAUGACUGUCGCUCAGUAUUACAAGCUGAGAAAGGAAGGAGAGGGCAAGGCUGGUGCCAGCCGCCGCGGUAAAACCAGCUCUUCGAGUGGUCAGGACGAAUAUUGGGUCUAAAGCGCUCGUAGCCGGGCAAGUAGGUUCCUGGUUAAAUCCGACAGCUUAACUGUUGGGCCGCUGGGAAUACCGCUAGCCUUGGAAGCGGGAGAGGACAGAGGUAGUCAUGGGGCAGGGGUGAAAUCCAGUGAUCCCAUGGCGACCACCGAUGGCGAAGGCAUCUGCCUGGAACGUAUUCGACGGUGAGGGGCGAAAGCCAGGGGAGCGACCCGGAUUAGAUACCCGGUUAGUCCUGGCCGUAAACGAUGCGGACUAGGUGUUGCACCGGCCAAGAGCCGCUGCAGUGCCACAGCGAAGGCGUUAAGUCCGCCACCUGGGGAGUACGUAUGCAAGUAUGAAACUUAAAGGAAUUGACGGGGGCGCACCACCAGGGGUGAAGCCUGCGGUUUAAUUGGAUUCAACGCCGGAAA